CAGCAGUCGCGAAAACUUCACACUGGGGGGAACCCCGAUGAGGGAAUUCCUAGUGCUUGGGCAUUUGUCCAAGCUUUUCCCGAGCGUAGAUAACUCGGGGAAUAAGGGCUGGGUAAGACGGGUGCCAGCCGCCGCGGUAAUACCUGCAGCCCGAGUGGUGGUCGAUUUUAUUGAGUCUAAAGCGUUCGUAGCCGGUCCGUUAAAUCCUUGGGUAAAUCGGGAAGCUCAACUUUCCGACUUCCGAGGAGACUGGCGGACUUGGGACCGGGAGAGGCCAGAGGUACUUCUGGGGUAGGGGUAAAAUCCUGUAAUCCUAGAAGGACCACCGGUGGCGAAGGCGUCUGGCUAGAACGGAUCCGACGGUGAGGGACGAAGCCCUGGGUCGCAAACGGGAUUAGAUACCCCGGUAGUCCAGGGUGUAAACGCUGCAGACUUGGUGUUGGAGGCCCUUCGGGGGCAUUCAGUGCCGGAGAGAAGUUGUU
Molecule: ribosomal RNA, 482 nt
Filed under: uncultured Methanomassiliicoccales archaeon
Lineage: Archaea; Methanobacteriati; Thermoplasmatota; Thermoplasmata; Methanomassiliicoccales
Description: bacterial SSU rRNA
Rfam family: Archaeal small subunit ribosomal RNA
Source: RNAcentral